GCGGGGGUUGCCCAGCCAGGCCAAAGGCGCAGGGCUUAGGACCCUGUCUCGUAGGAGUUCGUGCGUUCGAAUCGCACCCCCCGCACCA
This 88-nucleotide transfer RNA is filed under the name Methanococcoides methylutens. RNAcentral describes it as "tRNA-Leu". It matches the Rfam family "tRNA". Rfam says of the family: Transfer RNA (tRNA) molecules are approximately 80 nucleotides in length. Their secondary structure includes four short double-helical elements and three loops (D, anti-codon, and T loops). The record is from RNAcentral. Lineage: Archaea; Methanobacteriati; Methanobacteriota; Methanomicrobia; Methanosarcinales; Methanosarcinaceae. RNAcentral also lists the same sequence under 2 other names.